AAGACAACUACCCUCAAUUGCCUACAGUCACAGGUCCCUCAAGUCCGGGAAGUGACUUUAGAGAUUAGGACCUAAAGGCUUGGCGGCUUCCUUCUCACUGUCUCCUGGAUCUCUCAUUCUGGUGGGAGUUAGGCGCCAUGUCAUGAGGACAUUCAAGGAGCCCUCUGGGGAGUUCCCAUUGUGAGGAGCUGAGGCUUCCUGACAACAACCAACACCAACUCGCCAGGACAGGAGAUGAGCAGAAGACAAGGGAAGCAGGGCCGGGCGUGGUGGCUCACGCCAGUAAUCCCAGCACUUUGGGAGGCUGAGGUGGGCGGAUCAGGAGGUCAGGAGUUCAAGACCAGCACGGCCAACAUAGUGAAACCCUGUGUCUACUAAAAAUACAAAAAAAAAUUAGCUGGGCGUGGUGGCGCAUGCCUGUAGUCCCAGCUACUUGGGAGGCUGAGGCAGGAGAAUUGCUUGAACCCGGGAGGUGGAGGUUGCUGUGAGCUGAGAUGGUGCCACUGUACUCCAGCUUGGACAAGAGAGUGAGACUUUGUCUCAAAAAAAAACAACAACAACAACACACACACACACACACACACACACACACACACACACACACUAGGGAAGAAGACCCCAGCUGAGAGAGUGGCCAUACUGAAGAAAGUGGAUUCAUCUAUUAGCUCUGAGAUCAAAAUGCAGCUGCCUAGUGAUGACAAUAAAGGGAACUUGCAGUGAAA
Molecule: long non-coding RNA, 722 nt
Organism: Pan troglodytes (chimpanzee)
Lineage: Eukaryota; Metazoa; Chordata; Mammalia; Primates; Hominidae
Exons: 3
Source: RefSeq, a predicted model, not a curated record